Molecule: transfer RNA, 53 nt
Filed under: Aegilops comosa
Lineage: Eukaryota; Viridiplantae; Streptophyta; Magnoliopsida; Poales; Poaceae
Description: partial tRNA-Cys
Rfam family: tRNA
About the family: Transfer RNA (tRNA) molecules are approximately 80 nucleotides in length. Their secondary structure includes four short double-helical elements and three loops (D, anti-codon, and T loops).
Source: RNAcentral
GGCGGCAUGGCCAAGCGGUAAGGCAGGGGACUGCAAAUCCUUUAUCCCCAGUU